Papio anubis (olive baboon) is the source of this 84-nucleotide non-coding RNA. The record is from Rfam. NCBI's taxonomy places the organism in Eukaryota, Metazoa, Chordata, Mammalia, Primates, Cercopithecidae.
UAUUAGGUUGGUGCAAAAGUAAUUGUAGUUUUUACUAUUGAAAGCAAUGGCAGAAACCGCAAUUACUUUUGCACCAACCUAAUA